RNAcentral lists this transfer RNA (72 nucleotides) under Camelus bactrianus (Bactrian camel). It matches the Rfam family "tRNA". From Rfam's summary of the family: Transfer RNA (tRNA) molecules are approximately 80 nucleotides in length. Lineage: Eukaryota; Metazoa; Chordata; Mammalia; Artiodactyla; Camelidae. RNAcentral also lists the same sequence under 2 other names. The record is from Rfam by way of RNAcentral.
AAAGGUAUAGCUCAGUGGUAGAGUAUGUGCUUAACAUGCACAGGGUCCUGGGUGCAGUUCCUAGUGCCUUCC